RNAcentral lists this ribosomal RNA (254 nucleotides) under uncultured bacterium. RNAcentral's name for it is "partial 16S ribosomal RNA". It matches the Rfam family "Archaeal small subunit ribosomal RNA", at positions 474 to 727 of the family's 1478-position model. The record is from RNAcentral.
CACCAGCGCCGCAAGUGGGGACCACUUUUAUUGGGCCUAAAGCGUCCGUAGCUGGUUAAAUAAAUCCUUUGUGAAAUCGUGUGACUUAAUCAUACGACUUGCAGGGGACACUGUUUGACUUGAGACCGGGAGGGGUAUGGAGUAUUCCUAGGGAACCGGUAAAAUGGGAUAAUCCUAGGAAGACUACCUGUGGCGAAGGCGCCAUACCAGAACGGAUCUGACAGUGAGGGACGAAGGCCAGGGGAGCGAACCGG